GUCAGUGUACAUCUUCAGACUGAUGACCAAAAUGAGGCAGGGCUGGGGAAGCCCCUAGAGGCCACCAUCAUCACCAAUGAGAAGCGAGGAGGUGCUUCAAGGCUCAGGUGACCUGGCCUCCUUGGCAGCAUCCAAUGUAUCUGGCCUCUGUCUCUUCAGUGCAGAUUCAAGUGCAACACAUGCAGGAGUGUGACCCCUGUCGUCUCCCUGGUGGAUGUGCAUCACAGCAGUGCCUCUCCCAUGAUUUUGCUGUGUGCAGAGGUGAGC
Lutra lutra (Eurasian river otter) is the source of this 267-nucleotide long non-coding RNA. RefSeq lists it as uncharacterized. The transcript has 3 exons. The record is from RefSeq and is a predicted model, not a curated record. NCBI's taxonomy places the organism in Eukaryota, Metazoa, Chordata, Mammalia, Carnivora, Mustelidae.